Molecule: long non-coding RNA, 406 nt
Organism: Myotis brandtii (Brandt's bat)
Lineage: Eukaryota; Metazoa; Chordata; Mammalia; Chiroptera; Vespertilionidae
Exons: 2
Source: RefSeq, a predicted model, not a curated record
GUCUCUCUCUGAAUAAUGAGCAACCAGAGGGAGAGAGAAAGCAAGACAGAAAGAGAGAAGGAAGACAAUCUUCUCCUGCCACACAAAACGCCGGAGCACCAGGGGGUGCGCGAAGCCUUUCUAAUAACAACACCGCGCAGGAGAGAGGAAGAAAAGAGAAAGAAAGAAAGAAACGAGGAAAUGGGCAGGGGGCAUAAAAGGGAAGAAUUUUAUCCAAGAGCUGGAGAAGAGCAGAAGGAGAAGCUGGAGGAGAUGCUGAGGCUGCGGCUGCUGUCCCCCUCCCCUCUGCUGAACCCCAGAAGGAGGCAAGCUUGCGGUGUAUCUCCAGUGAAAAGCUCAAAUUGUCCAUUACUGGCACGUAUUUUGAAGACUUCUCCCCCGAAAUAAAGGCUCAUUGUGCAUUUUA